This is a long non-coding RNA of Pecten maximus, 5144 nucleotides long. RefSeq lists it as uncharacterized. NCBI's taxonomy places the organism in Eukaryota, Metazoa, Mollusca, Bivalvia, Pectinida, Pectinidae. The transcript has 2 exons. The record is from RefSeq and is a predicted model, not a curated record.
GUUUCAGCAGUUUAAAAAUUUAAUAGGCACUGGUGACUGUUUCAUUUCUACACCUGUAAAAACAUCAGCCGAGUAGAUCUACCGGUGUGCCAGAGAUUAGUUUCGCUUGAGCGAGUGGGUAGAUGAGUUGGUGACUAUCGUGUGUACAUCGGCGACCGCCUUAGGAAAUUACCUGAUGUAAGUAAAACAGUUAUUGUUAUAAGAUUACACCGACAAUUUCUUUAAUGAAUUUAUGAAACACUUAUAAUAGCAUAUAAUAAUCGGAAGGUUUGUAGUGCCGAUACAAACAGGAUUUCGAUGUUGAACAAAUGUCGGUGUUUACCACCGAUCGUUGUUGGACACAAAAAUGAUACUUCGAGUUAUUCGAUCAUUUCAAGUAGGAUUUUUAUUGUUGGUACCAAAUUUUCACUUCAUAUUAUCCGAGUUUUUCGAGUUUUCUCAAUUUGAGUUUUCCGAGGUUUUUUUACUAGGAUAAAGAGAGAAUUCGGCCGGGACUGACGAAGCACUUCGAGUUACGCGGGGUAUUCAAGUUUUCCAAGUUCGAGUUAACGAAGUUCCACUGUACUGAAAAAAACUGCCAUCAGAUAGCCCUAAUGUUACUGUGUCCUUCACAGUAGGACAAACUUAAGCAGUAGUUUACUCUAUGUAUGUCAAAUGAGGACGGACAGAGAGGGUAUAAACAUAACCGUAUAAGGUGUCAAAUGAGGACCGUCAGAGACGGUAUAAACAUUACCAUAUAAGGUGUCAACUGAGGACCGUCAGAGGGGGUUUAAACAUUACCAUAUAAGGUGUCAACUGAGGACCGUCAGAGGGGGUAUAAACAUUACCAUAUAAGGUGUCAAACAGGGACCCACAGAGACGGUAUCAACAUUACCAUAUAAGGUGUCAAACAGGGACCCACAGAGAGGGUUUAAACAUUACCAUAUAAGGUGUCGAACAGGGACCCACAGAGAGGGUAUAAACAUUACCAUAUAAGGUGUCGAACAGGGACCCACAGAGAGGGUAUAAACAUUACCAUAUAAGGUGUCGAACAGGGACCCACAGAGACGGUAUCAACAUUACCAUAUAAGGUGUCAAACGGACCCACAGAGAGGGUUUAAACAUUACCAUAUAAGGUGUCAAACAGGGACCCACAGAGAGGGUAUAAACAUUACCAUAUAAGGUGUCAAACGGACCCACAGAGAGGGUUUAAAUAUUACCAUAUAAGGUGUCGAACAGGGACCCACAGAGACGGUAUAAACAUUACCAUAUAAGGUGUCAAACAGGGACCGACAGAGAGGGUAUAAACAUUACCAUAUAAGGUGUCAAACAGGGACCCACAGAGAGGGUAUAAACAUUACCAUAUAAGGUGUCAAACAGGGACCCACAGAGAGGGUAUAAACAUUACCAUAUAAGGUGUCAAACGGACCCACAGAGACGAUAUAAAUAUUACCAUAUAAGGUGUCAAACAGGGACCCACAGAGAGGGUAUAAACAUUACCAUAUAAGGUGUCAAACAGGGACCGACAGAGAGGGUUUAAACAUUACCAUAUAAGGUGUCAAACAGGGACCCACAGAAAGGGUAUAAACAUUACCAUAUAAGGUGUCAAACAGGGACCGACAGAGAGGGUAUAAACAUUACCAUAUAAGGUGUCAAACAGGGACCGACAGAGAGGGUAUAAACAUUACCAUAUAAGGUGUCAAACAGGGACCGACAGAGACGGUAUAAACAUUACCAUAUAAGGUGUCAAACGGACCCACAGAGAUGGUAUAAACAUUACCAUAUAAGGUGUCAAACAGGGACCCACAGAGAGGGUAUAAACAUUACCAUAUAAGGUGUCAAACGGACCCACAGAGACGGUAUAAACAUUACCAUAUAAGGUGUCAAACGGACCCACAGAGACGGUAUAAACAUUACCAUAUAAGGUGUCAAACAGGGACCGACAGAGAGGGUAUAAACAUUACCAUAUAAGGUGUCAAACAGGGACCGACAGAGAGGGUAUAAACAUUACCAUAUAAGGUGUCAAACAGGGACCCACAGAGAGGGUUUAAACAUUACCAUCUAAGGUUUCAAACAGGGACCCACAGAGACGGUAUAAACAUUACCAUAUAAGGUUUCAAACAGGGACCCACAGAGACGGUAUAAACAUUACCAUAUAAGGUGUCAAACAGGGACCCACAGAGACGGUAUAAAUAUUACCAUAUAAGGUGUCAAACAGGGACCCACAGAGAGGGUAUAAACAUUACCAUAUAAGGUGUCAAACAGGGACCGACAGAGAGGGUAUAAACAUUACCAUAUAAGGUGUCAAACAGGGACCCACAGAGACGGUAUAAACAUUACCAUAUAAGGUGUCAAACAGGGACCCACAGAGACGGUAUAAACAUUACCAUAUAAGGUGUCAAACAGGGACCCACAGAGAUGGUUUAAACAUUACCAUAUAAGGUGUCAAACAGGGACCCACAGAGACGGUAUAAACAUUACCAUAUAAGGUGUCAAACAGGGACCCACAGAGACGGUAUAAACAUUACCAUAUAAGGUGUCAAACAGGGACCCACGGAGAGAGUGUAAAGAGUAUAUGUACUAUGUAAUUAAGGAGUCUAAUUUCAUUAUGAAAACCAUUAUGUUGUAUUUCGAUGUUUUGUUUUUUUACUCAUAACUCUUCUUUUUAUGAAGAUAAUUGAAAUAUUUGUUGAUUUAAUUUUAGAUCAUGUGCAAAUAUUCUUUAAUGUGUAGACAUUGAAGAAAUUAAAAUUUGUUCCACUUAGAGUUGAGAAAUGAUUAUUUUGACACCAUGCUCCUCUCUACUGGUAGGUUUUAAAGACAAACAUUACCUCCCUUUUUAGACAUACUAAGACAUUUUUAAUAUCAAAUAUGUCUUAAUUGAUGUUUCUUGGUUCCAUUGUUCUCUACCUACCAAUUAUUUCUAGUUUAUCAGUUUAAACAUGAAUAAAGAAUAUUGUUAAUUCCAAUCAUAUUUUCAAUUCUGUUGUAAAGCUGUACAUAUUUUACAUUAAUACUUUAACAUACAGUCAUGUACUUGCAGAAUAUAGAGAAAUAUAAUUUUUGGUGUGAUUUGUAAAUAUUGAAUUUAUAUUUUGGAUAUUUUGAAAGUAUACAAAGAAAUGUAAAGUAUGGUAACACCUACUAUACGUAUACGCGGUCUUAGUCCGCCUGAUUGCAUUGGCGAGUUACACGGCGCCUGUCAAAAGUUUCUUGCCAUGUUGAACCUCUGACAUUGUUGGAGUAGUCAUGUACAUGCUGACGUUAUCUGGAACGUCAUUAAACGUUACAACAUGUAUGUGUACUUGUAUGGAGGUAUGUUUUAAACAUUUGUUUUGAACACUCAAUUUCUAGAUAUUUUGUAACUAAACUUUAAGCAAGAAAGCCAUAUUUUGUCAGAAAAUACAGCUGCCCAAAAACAUAAUCUACAGAAAAUUUCAUUGUGAAUAUCAAUAUUGUCAUUUAAACACUGUCGUCUACAUGUUUGGAGUUAAUCGCCACGACACAAGUUUGUUGCUAUGUGUAACAGGUGCAAAACCACAUAAAUCGAUGUUGUCAUACAUACAUAAUUCCAGAAUAUAUGUACAUAUACACGUAGAGUUGUUUAACUAUUUUCAGGAACUAGACAAAUACAGGUUGUAGUUAAAUGUUCUUAGUCCUCAAAAGAGCCAGGAUCACCAAGUCAUGGAAAUCUAUGCUUGUAACUACAACAGGAAGACAAUUUCAAUUCUUCUCAUCUUUCUGACAAAAUGUACUACAGGUUUGGAAUGUUUAUCAUGUGCUGUUUUUUUUUUUAUCUUAUUGCAGAUAAAACACAGAAUUGUAUGUAUUUAACAAUUGGACAUGACAUUUAUCAUCAAUAUGAAUGACACAACUUAAUUUUGCAGGCAGACAUCAUAAGGAGUAUGCCCUAGUGUAAUGUAGUAUGAUACCAACCUGUCAUAUUAACUAACAUGUCAUUUGACAGGUGUGUGGUCAGUCACUAUAGUUAUAAUUAUGACAUCAUUUGACAGGUGUGUGGUCAGUCACUAUAGUUAUAAUUAUGACAUCAUUUGACAGGUGUGGUCAGUCACCAUAGCUAUAAUUAUGACAUCAUUUGAUAGGUGUGUGGUCAGUCACCAUAGUUAUAAUUAUGACAUCAUUUGAUAGGUGUGUGGUCAGUCGCCAUAGCUAUAAUUAUGACAUCAUUUGACAGGUGUGUGGUCAGUCACCAUAGUUAUAAUUAUGACAUCAUCAUUUGACAGGUGUGUGGUCAGUCACCAUAGCUAUAAUUAUGAUUACAUAAGUUAUACCACCUAAAACAAUGGCUUUUGUAGUAUAAAUGUCACUUAUGAGGUUAGAAAUGAAGAAUGAAAGGUGAUAAUGUGAUGAUUGAGCAGUGUCACUAUACCAUACUGUUGUAGAUUUUGUCAAUAAGUAAAUGACUGCAGUGCUUAGUAUUCUGUGGUACUAGAGGGACAAAAGGACUCUUUCUACAGAGUUCCAUGAAGGUUGUGGUAACUCAUUAUUUAAGUGUGAAUUAUGUUUAAUACUAUUUUAUUAAAUGUUGAAGACUUUUAUAUCAAAACAUAAAUAUACUGCGACUAGUUUGCCAAUUUUAACAAUAGAAAAAUAGUUUUAAUAUGUGUUCAACUGUUGAUUGGGUUUUGAAGUGUGGGCAUUGAAGUGUGGACAUUGAAGGUGUGGACAUUGAAGUGUGGCCAUUGAAGUGUGGCCAUUGAAGUGACCAAUAUCACCAAAUAUUGUAUGUGUGCCAAAGGGGUAAAUAUUUCAUGUGGUGAAAACACUUGGUGUUUGUAGGGACUUUUACACGAAAUGGUACCAGAUAUUUCACUUGCUGUAAUGUACAAUUGUUCAUGGCAUAUUGCGUAAUCAAAGCAAUCAACAAUAGUUAGGUUUAACAUCAGAUCAAACUGCUUUGAUCCAAAAAAUAUAUUGUAAUGCAGAUAGAAAAAUCUGAGAAAGAGAACUUUGGACAGAAAACUGAUUUGUAGGAUUGUUGUUUGUAUUAGUGACUAGAACAAAGUGAAUGUCACUGAAAGAUCCAGUGAAGGUGCUGAUAAUCCUUCAGUCGCUAAUACUCGUCUUAAUUGUUUAUUAAUGAAAGUUUUCCGAUCACUUGUUCAAUUGCAUGUUUAAAACAAUAAACAUACAACUACAUCAUA